GCAAUACAACGUGGUGGCGACCGGCGCACGGGUGAGUAACGCGUAUGCAACCUACCUAGUCAGAGGGGAAUAACCCGGCGAAAGUCGGACUAAUACCGCAUAAACAGGGGCACCGCAUGGUGAUAUUUGUUAAAGAAAUUCGCUGAUAGAUGGGCAUGCGUUCCAUUAGGUAGUUGGUGAGGUAACGGCUCACCAAGCCGACGAUGGAUAGGGGAACUGAGAGGUUGGUCCCCCACACUGGUACUGAGACACGGACCAGACUCCUACGGGAGGCAGCAGUGAGGAAUAUUGGUCAAUGGGCGAGAGCCUGAACCAGCCAAGUCGCGUGAAGGAAGAAGGAUCUAUGGUUCGUAAACUUCUUUUGCAGGGGAAUAAAGUGCGGGACGUGUCCUGUUUUGUAUGUACCCUGAGAAUAAGGAUCGGCUAACUCCGUGCCAGCCGCGGC
Molecule: ribosomal RNA, 445 nt
Filed under: uncultured bacterium
Lineage: Bacteria
Description: bacterial SSU rRNA
Rfam family: Bacterial small subunit ribosomal RNA
Source: RNAcentral